RNAcentral lists this ribosomal RNA (253 nucleotides) under uncultured bacterium. RNAcentral's name for it is "partial 16S ribosomal RNA". It matches the Rfam family "Bacterial small subunit ribosomal RNA", at positions 524 to 776 of the family's 1533-position model. The record is from RNAcentral.
UACGAAGGGGGCUAGCGUUGCUCGGAAUCACUGGGCGUAAAGCGCACGUAGGCGGAUUGCUAAGUCAGGGGUGAAAUCCUGGAGCUCAACUCCAGAACUGCCUUUGAUACUGGCGACCUUGAGUCCGGGAGAGGUGGGUGGAACUGCGAGUGUAGAGGUGAAAUUCGUAGAUAUUCGCAAGAACACCAGUGGCGAAGGCGGCUCACUGGCCCGGUACUGACGCUGAGGUGCGAAAGCGUGGGGAGCAAACAGG